GCCUUCGCCCCGCUCCUGCCGCCUGCGUGUGGCAGCGGCAGCCGCUCGGCCUGCGCUCCGUGCCGCGCCGCGGGGAGCCGGGAGCGGGCCGGGAGGCACGGCGGGAGGAGCGCCCGGAGCGGGGGGACUGCGAGGGGAGCCCGGCGGCCGGGAACCGGGAGCGCGCGAGACCCCGGCGCACUUGGGCGGCACCACCGCGUUCGGGGAUAACGUGGAGGAUGAGUGGUUCAUCGUGUACCUGCUCCGGGAGAUCACCAGGGAGUUCCCGGGGCUGGCAGCCAGGAUUGAUGACCACGAUGGAGAGUUUCUCUUGAUAGAAGCAGCCGAUUUUAUCCUAAGGUGACUGAAUCCUGAGCACAGUGGAAACAGGGUGAGUAAAGCUUGUGUACAGCUGGCAUGGUGGCCACAGUGACCUUUUCUGUAGCAGCUGGAGUUUUCUCUUGCACCUCUCUCUAGCCAAGUGGUCUGACUGCCUCUGAAAAUCCAGAGUGCUGUCUGUCCCUUGCUGUUGCUCCCUUCAGGAGCACUCCUGUAUCCAACAGAACUUUCAAGCUCUGCUAAACCACUUGGAUGAUUUUUUUUUUUUUACCAUACUGUGGAGUGUUUAGGGCAGAGGAUUUGCUGCCCUCAGAGCAGGGAAUGCUCAGGGCUGGAGUGUUGCUGUCUCUGUAAGGACACAGGCUUUGUCUGGCACAGGUGAAAUAAUGAGCAGACACCUUCCCCUUCCCCUACUCCAAGAUUCUUAAAAGGGCUGGAACACAACACCAAAAUUGAUUGCAAGUGUGUACCUGGAGUGUCAGGCCCAUAUUUCCUUUGUUUGAGGGAGCAGAGUGAGGGAGCUGAGAGCAUUGCACUCAGGGCUUUUCUCAGGAUCAGGAACCAGCAGAGGUCGCAUGUAGCCCCUGAAAUAAUGCUUUUACAUCCCUGGGAUGCUCUGGAGCAGUUAGGUUAUGCUGGUUCUCCUGAAGCACUUCUCUAGUUGAAGAGAAACCUGGUAUUGUUGUUAUGAAGGAAACAAGAUGUAUUUGAUAAACUCGUUGCAGAAUGUAGAAGCUGAGGAAGGAAUAGAGAUGGAAGCAAGUUUUGAUAUAGAAGAAAAGAAUUGCUGAGCCAGUCUUACUGGAUAACCAAGGAGCAAAGGGUAUGUUAGUUAGAAGGGGGUUUUAUGACUUAGAACAAAGGAUAAACCCACCUCAAACAAGAUGAUGUUUUUACCAAGCAGAAAGAUAGCACAAGCAAACAAGUCAGCAAAUGUUGCAAGUAGAAAAAAGGUCUCAGAAUUUUCCACUGCAAGAAAACUGAAGAACAAUUUCUAGCUUAAACUGUAAUGUACUAACAUUUAGUGAUUGGAGAAUACUAACAUGAAUAUGGUAAUUGUAUUAGUUAUGAUAGGCUAUAGAUAAAAGUUAAGGUAUAGAUUGGUUCUACUGUAUUAAGAUGCUCAGCAAAGAAAAGUAUAUAAUGCAUUUGUAACCUAAGCUAAGGGUCUCCAGGCCUGCCUGCAGCUGCAGCUGACAGCUGUAGGCUCAGGCUCUGUCGCCCACGACCCUGGACUGCUCUAACAUCUUGCAUAUAAUAAACUGCGUUUUGGAAGAGCCA
Long non-coding RNA from Passer domesticus (house sparrow), 1599 nucleotides. RefSeq lists it as uncharacterized. The record is from RefSeq and is a predicted model, not a curated record. The transcript is spliced from 3 exons. NCBI's taxonomy places the organism in Eukaryota, Metazoa, Chordata, Aves, Passeriformes, Passeridae.